GUUUCCUUAGUACUAACUAGUACAGCUGACUUCCAAUCAGCCAGUUCUGGUCACAAUCCAGAAGGAGGCA
RNAcentral lists this transfer RNA (70 nucleotides) under Otaria flavescens (South American sea lion). Its description in RNAcentral is "Otaria byronia (South American sea lion) tRNA-Gly". The record is from RNAcentral. Lineage: Eukaryota; Metazoa; Chordata; Mammalia; Carnivora; Otariidae.